RNAcentral lists this small nuclear RNA (107 nucleotides) under Neotoma lepida (desert woodrat). Lineage: Eukaryota; Metazoa; Chordata; Mammalia; Rodentia; Cricetidae. The record is from RNAcentral.
AUGCUCACUUCAGCAGCACAUAUACUAAAACUGGAAUGACACAGAGAAGAUGUGUAUGGCCCCCACACAAGGAUGACAUGCAAAUUCGUGAAACAUUCCAUAUUUUU